This 253-nucleotide ribosomal RNA is filed under the name uncultured bacterium. RNAcentral describes it as "partial 16S ribosomal RNA". It matches the Rfam family "Bacterial small subunit ribosomal RNA", at positions 524 to 776 of the family's 1533-position model. The record is from RNAcentral.
UACGGAGGGGGCGAGCGUUGUUCGGAGUCACUGGGCGUAAAGGGCGCGUAGGCGGUGCGAUCAGUCGGGCGUGAAAGGCCUGGGCUCAACCCGGGACGUGCGCUCGAUACUGUCGUGCUGGAGACCGGGAGAGGAUGGCGGACUUCCCAGUGUAGAGGUGAAAUUCGUGGAUAUUGGGAAGAAAAGCAGUGGCGAAGGCGGCCAUCUGGAACGGUUCUGACGCUGAGGCGCGACAGCGUGGGGAGCACACAGC